CAAAAAGCAUAAGAGGUUGCUGAAAGGCACCAAACAAACAAAUAUAAGUUAUUAAUGGAUUUGCAACAAAUAUAAGUUAAUUUGUGCAACCUUGGCAUCUCCGAUAAUGAACUCCAUAUGUUGAUUCCCAAUCGCAAGAAGAAGAAGGUCUCGUGGAAAGACGGUACUGUGAUUUAAACAAAUACUCCUCUGAUUUAAACUAAACACUCCUCUGAUUAUGAUGUCGUGAUUUUAUAUUUGCAACAAAAUUUAAACAAUUCCUUUUACUAAUCAACUUAAGUUGAAUGAAUUCUAGAAACAUUUACACAACAAAAUAUCAGGCUUGUGUGGUUCAGUAAUCACCGCUCUGAUCAAUCAGAACCAUAACUAACUGCUUGGGCCAGCUUCAUCAUGAUUCUUGCAACAAAAUCCAUUGUCACUAUGAUCAUGGGGAUGUUUGUCAGAGUCGUGUGGUACAUCAUCUUCAUCGCUAUCAUCUUCAUCAAAGGGCUUUUCUUUAUGAAAGAUACAACACUUCUUGGAACUCUUUUUCUGCAUGAACUCAUUGUCCACAGUACCGUCUUUCCACGAGACCUUCUUCUUCUUGCGAUUGAGCAGGAGAAAAAGGACUUCAGGUUGCUGUUGUUCCUGCCGAGAUGAAGAGGAUGAUGGAACUGAGCUUUCAAUUGUUAUGGUGGUGGCGCCAGUAACAGAAGGGGAAGACAACGCUACUGGCCGGUUGGUGCUCCUGCGUCUGUCCAUGAUUGGCAAAAAA
Molecule: long non-coding RNA, 754 nt
Filed under: Medicago truncatula (barrel medic)
Lineage: Eukaryota; Viridiplantae; Streptophyta; Magnoliopsida; Fabales; Fabaceae
Description: long non-coding RNA (MTRU_LNC005404)
Source: RNAcentral